AGUGAACGCUGGCGGUAGGCCUAACACAUGCAAGUCGAACGGCAGCACAGUAAGAGCUUGCUCUUACGGGUGGCGAGUGACGGACGGGUGAGGAAUACAUCGGAAUCUACUUUUUCGUGGGGGAUAACGUAGGGAAACUUACGCUAAUACCGCAUACGACCUACGGGUGAAAGCAGGGGAUCUUCGGACCUUGCGCGAUUGAAUGAGCCGAUGUCGGAUUAGCUAGUUGGCGGGGUAAAGGCCCACCAAGGCGACGAUCCGUAGCUGGUCUGAGAGGAUGAUCAGCCACACUGGAACUGAGACACGGUCCAGACUCCUACGGGAGGCAGCAGUGGGGAAUAUUGGACAAUGGGCUCAAGCCUGAUCCAGCCAUACCGCGUGGGUGAAGAAGGCCUUCGGGUUGUAAAGCCCUUUUGUUGGGAAAGAAAAGCAGCAGGUUAAUACCCCGCUGUUCUGACGGUACCCAAAGAAUAAGCACCGGCUAACUUCGUG
RNAcentral lists this ribosomal RNA (492 nucleotides) under uncultured bacterium. Its description in RNAcentral is "partial 16S ribosomal RNA". It matches the Rfam family "Bacterial small subunit ribosomal RNA", at positions 29 to 507 of the family's 1533-position model. The record is from RNAcentral.